Molecule: ribosomal RNA, 367 nt
Filed under: uncultured organism
Description: bacterial LSU rRNA
Rfam family: Bacterial large subunit ribosomal RNA
Source: RNAcentral
CUUUACUGUAGCCUGGUAUUGGGUUCGGGCUUUGCUUGCGCAGGAUAGGUGGGAGACGUUGAAGCAUCUCUUGUGGGAGGUGUGGAGUCAACGGUGAGAUACCACUCUGGCAGAGCUAGAAUUCUAACCCUUACCCAUUAUCUGGGAAGGGGACCGUAUCAGGUGGGCAGUUUGACUGGGGCGGUCGCCUCCUAAAAGGUAACGGAGGCGCGCAAAGGUUCCCUCCGGCUGGUUGGAAAUCAGCCUGAGAGUGCAAAGGCAUAAGGGAGCUUGACUGUGAGACUGACAGGUCAAGCAGGGACGAAAGUCGGCCUUAGUGAUCCGACGGCGCUGAGUGGAAGGGCCGUCGCUCAACGGAUAAAAGUUA